UGGGGAAUAUUGGACAAUGGGCGAAAGCCUGAUCCAGCAAUGCCGCGUGUGUGAAGAAGGCCUGAGGGUUGUAAAGCACUUUCAGUGGGGAGGAGAGGCUCUAGGCGAAAAGGCUAGAGAAGAGACGCUACCCAAAGAAGAAGCACCGGCUAACUCUGUGCCAGCAGCCGCGGUAAUACAGAGGGUGCGAGCGUUAAUCGGAAUUACUGGGCGUAAAGGGUGCGUAGGUGGUUGAAUAAGUUAGGUGUGAAAGUCCCGGGCUUAACCUGGGGACAGCGCCUAAGACUGUUUAGCUAGAGUACUGUAGAGGGAGGUGGAAUUUCCGGUGUAGCGGUGAAAUGCGUAGAUAUCGGAAGGAACAUCAGUGGCGAAGGCGACUUUCUGGACAGAUACUGACACUGAGGCACGAAAGCGUGGGGAGCAAACAGGAUUAGAUACCCCCGUAGUCC
Molecule: ribosomal RNA, 449 nt
Filed under: uncultured bacterium
Lineage: Bacteria
Description: bacterial SSU rRNA
Rfam family: Bacterial small subunit ribosomal RNA
Source: RNAcentral